RNAcentral lists this ribosomal RNA (263 nucleotides) under uncultured archaeon. RNAcentral's name for it is "partial 16S ribosomal RNA". It matches the Rfam family "Archaeal small subunit ribosomal RNA", at positions 748 to 1008 of the family's 1478-position model. The record is from RNAcentral.
AGGGUGUAAACGCUGCAGACUUGGUGUUGGAGGCCCUUUGGGGGCAUUCAGUGCCGGAGAGAAGUUGUUAAGUCUGCUACUUGGGGAGUACGUCCGCAAGGAUGAAACUUAAAGGAAUUGGCGGGGGGAGCACCGCAACGGGACGGAGCGUGCGGUUUAAUUGGAUUCAACACCGUAAAACUCACCAGGGAAGACUGUUACAUGAAGGCCGAGAUGAAGACUCUGCUAGAUUUUCAGAGAGGUGGUGCAUGGCGUCAGUGACU